CUACACGAAGUCGGAAUUGCUAGUAAUCGUAGGUCAGCAUACUACGGUGAAUACGUUCCCGGGCCUUGUACACACGCCCGUCAAACCAUGGGAGUUGGCAACACCCGAAGUCGGUAGUCUAACCGCAAGGAGGACGCCGCCGAAGGUGGGGUUGAUGAUUAGGGUUAAGUCGUAACAAGGUACC
RNAcentral lists this ribosomal RNA (184 nucleotides) under uncultured bacterium. RNAcentral's name for it is "partial 16S ribosomal RNA". It matches the Rfam family "Bacterial small subunit ribosomal RNA", at positions 1316 to 1500 of the family's 1533-position model. The record is from RNAcentral.